ACUUUAAGUAUCCUAAAGGGUUGUUCGAGACUAGAACGUUGAUAGGCAGGGUGUGUAAGCGUUGUGAGGCGUUGAGCUAACCUGUACUAAUUGCCCGUGAGGCUUAACCAUACAACACCCAAGGGGUUU
Molecule: ribosomal RNA, 129 nt
Filed under: Vibrio campbellii
Lineage: Bacteria; Pseudomonadati; Pseudomonadota; Gammaproteobacteria; Vibrionales; Vibrionaceae
Description: partial 23S ribosomal RNA
Rfam family: Bacterial large subunit ribosomal RNA (bases 1-111)
Source: RNAcentral